Molecule: non-coding RNA, 208 nt
Organism: Pelobates cultripes (western spadefoot toad)
Lineage: Eukaryota; Metazoa; Chordata; Amphibia; Anura; Pelobatidae
Source: the annotation of a GenBank genome assembly
AUGUAUAGCAUUUAUAGGGACACUUUGAAGGGUCUGGCUGCAGUGUCCCUGUCCCCCUUAGUCCUGCAAUUUAAAACAUUGCAUUUUUUUUCUGGCAUAUGGUGGCAGUACAUGUGGGUUUUGCUCCUUUCCUGUGGACAAGCAUUUAACAAGAUUAAGUUAACAAACCCCUCCCCCUUGCCCUAUAUAAGGGCUAUCUGGCAAAAAC